AUUGAACGCUGGCGGCAGGCCUAACACAUGCAAGUCGAGCGGAGCGGCGGACGGGUGAGUAAUGCCUAGGAAUCUGCCUGGUAGUGGGGGAUAACGUCCGGCAACGGGCGCUAAUACCGCAUACUAUCAGAUGAGCCUAGGUCGGAUUAGCUAGUUGGUGGGGUAAAGGCCUACCAAGGCGACGAUCCGUAACUGGUCUGAGAGGAUGAUCAGUCACACUGGAACUGAGACACGGUCCAGACGCCUACGGGAGGAAGCAGUGGGGAAUAGUCGACAAGGGGCGAAAGCCUGAUGCAGCCAUGCCGGGUAUGUGAGGAAGGUCUUCGGAUUGUAAAGCACUCUAAGUUGGGAGGCGUUACCAACAAAAUGAUCACCGGCUAACUUCGUGCCAGCAGCCGCGGUAAUUC
This 407-nucleotide ribosomal RNA is filed under the name uncultured bacterium. RNAcentral describes it as "partial 16S ribosomal RNA". It matches the Rfam family "Bacterial small subunit ribosomal RNA", at positions 30 to 526 of the family's 1533-position model. The record is from RNAcentral.